UACGAGUGCCCCAAGCGUUAUCCGGAAUUAUUGGGCGUAAAGGGUGUGUAGGUGGUUAUAUUAGUCUUCUGUUAAAGCUCUCGGCUUAACCGGGAAAAUGCAGGAGAAACGGUAUAACUAGAGGAUGUGAGAGGUGUGCGGAACUCAUGGUGUAGGGGUGAAAUCCGUUGAUAUCAUGGGGAACACCAAAAGCGAAGGCAGCACACUGGCGCAUUCCUGACAUUGAAACACGAAAGCGUGGGUAGCGAAUGGG
This 253-nucleotide ribosomal RNA is filed under the name uncultured prokaryote. Its description in RNAcentral is "partial 16S ribosomal RNA". It matches the Rfam family "Bacterial small subunit ribosomal RNA", at positions 524 to 776 of the family's 1533-position model. The record is from RNAcentral.